Chelonoidis abingdonii (Abingdon island giant tortoise) is the source of this 331-nucleotide non-coding RNA. NCBI's taxonomy places the organism in Eukaryota, Metazoa, Chordata, Testudines, Testudinidae. The record is from RefSeq and is a predicted model, not a curated record.
GGCGGGCAGCGUGUGCAGGAAUCCAGGCGGGGGCUGGGCCAGGCGCUGAUGUGCCGCUCGCUCGGGAAGAGCGGAGCUGGGCACCAGCGGGAAGCCGCCUUGCGCUGCCCGGGCUCCGCGGGGAGCAGACCAUUGGCUGAGCGUUUACAACUGUUGUAGAAGAUACAGCCAACUGGAUUAUCUAGAAAACGAGGGAGAGAAACUGGAGCCAUUCAGUUUGAUGGGGGAAACCGAGGCACCAAGAAGGAAGUGACUUUCACAGGACCAUCCAGCAGAGCCAGGCAUUGAACCUAGGUCUCCCGAGUCUCUGUCCAGUACCCUGUCCAAGGAG